UUUUAAAUCGAAUAUUCGAGCAAAUCAGCGGUGAUUCUAGGGGUGAUCUAUAUGGGAUUGGGAAGAGGAGAGUGAGGUGGUUCUAUGGUGUAAAUCUGGAAGGCAUUGGGGUUGCGCCAGCGAUUGCGACGAUUUUCGUCCGGCGGCGUACGGUGGUGGUGCAGUGGUUCGAUGAUGGUGUUACACUGUCAGUUGAACUAUAC
Molecule: long non-coding RNA, 203 nt
Filed under: Nicotiana benthamiana
Lineage: Eukaryota; Viridiplantae; Streptophyta; Magnoliopsida; Solanales; Solanaceae
Description: long non-coding RNA (NBEN_LNC029246)
Source: RNAcentral